Molecule: long non-coding RNA, 493 nt
Filed under: Olea europaea subsp. europaea
Lineage: Eukaryota; Viridiplantae; Streptophyta; Magnoliopsida; Lamiales; Oleaceae
Source: RNAcentral
AAAAAGGUACACCAGUCCCUCAAAAUCCAAACUACUCAAAUGAAAUGCUGGCAAUUCGAUAUUUACUUGCUAUACAAUCGAAAGUCCUCAAAUGUGCUAAAGAUAUCAAAUUUGUAGUGAACUAAUGAUAACAUUUCUAACAUAAUUGCAUGUACCCCAAAGAAACAUAUACUGUGUAAUAUAAUAAAGUCAUACAACCUACGAAGCAUGGCUCAAUUUGGUGGAUCGACAAGCUCCAAAACUGCUCAACUCGGCUGCUAUCUGUCUGAUAAGGAAAAAGGGUAAAAGAAAUAUGAGCUAAUAGCUCAAUGAGUGGAUAAUUUGCAAAUAAGUAAACUUUUUUCCAUUUAUGCAUAUUUUCUUCAAAUUCUUGCUCUAUUAAAACUUUGAGAAUUCUGAAAUCUGAUAAAACCUUUAAAACUAAAACAUGACUGCAUCAUAAGAUUCUUUGUCCUUUAUUCGAGAUAAAUAACUGUAAAGUAUAACAAAUUUU